GCCGGUGUAGCUCAGGGGUAGAGUGUUUCCUUGGUAAGGAAGAGGUCAUGGGUUCAAAUCCCAUCAUUGGCUCAA
RNAcentral lists this transfer RNA (75 nucleotides) under Lutibacter sp. BRH_c52. Its description in RNAcentral is "tRNA-Thr". It matches the Rfam family "tRNA". Rfam says of the family: Transfer RNA (tRNA) molecules are approximately 80 nucleotides in length. Their secondary structure includes four short double-helical elements and three loops (D, anti-codon, and T loops). Further hydrogen bonds mediate the characteristic L-shaped molecular structure. tRNAs have two regions of fundamental functional importance: the anti-codon, which is responsible for specific mRNA codon recognition, and the 3' end, to which the tRNAs corresponding amino acid is attached (by aminoacyl-tRNA synthetases). tRNAs cope with the degeneracy of the genetic code in two manners: having more than one tRNA (with a specific anti-codon) for a particular amino acid; and 'wobble' base-pairing, i.e. permitting non-standard base-pairing at the 3rd anti-codon position. The record is from RNAcentral. Lineage: Bacteria; Pseudomonadati; Bacteroidota; Flavobacteriia; Flavobacteriales; Flavobacteriaceae. RNAcentral also lists the same sequence under 3 other names.